Molecule: microRNA precursor, 170 nt
Filed under: Glycine max (soybean)
Lineage: Eukaryota; Viridiplantae; Streptophyta; Magnoliopsida; Fabales; Fabaceae
Description: miR5769 stem-loop (gma-MIR5769)
Source: miRBase by way of RNAcentral
UUUAUCUCCUUCGUCGGCAUCAUUGACUUGACAUAUUUGCAUAUAGAGUAUUGUACAGGAUUAAAAAAAUAAAUUUAAUGGCAUUUUCAACGGCCAAAAGCAUGAUUCAACUUAAGACCAUGAAGGGAAUAUAAUGUGAUGAGGGAAAUGAAGACGACGAAGUAGUCAAA